This 1448-nucleotide long non-coding RNA is filed under the name Parus major (Great Tit). RNAcentral describes it as "lncRNA (ENSPMJG00000012837.1)". The record is from RNAcentral. Lineage: Eukaryota; Metazoa; Chordata; Aves; Passeriformes; Paridae.
CUUAAAUAAUUAACAAGAAGAGGUUUGUCCUUUUAAAGGUCCCUGUCACUGAUACUUGCCUAUAAGAAGGUCUUAGAAAUGGACCUUUCUUAAAACACACUGUUACCACUUGGAUUCAUCACAUUUUUGGGGCAGUUUUAACAUGGCAACUGCAGAAGUCACAGACACUUGAGUAAAUGGUAUUCCUCACAGGUGGACCAAGAAGAGAGGAAUAACUUCUUAAAGUGUUCUGUAAACAAUAAUCACCUUUUUAGAGUUGUGGGACUUUAAAAAGAUGCUUAGGACAUCAUAUUGCCCAUGUUCUGAAAGAGGAGCAGCAGCAGAACUGGGUAACAUUUGCAGCACAGUGUCUGGGCCACCACAGAUUCUUCAUUUGCAGCACCAAAUCAAGUCCCAUGUGUCAAGCCCCUUGCUUUGGAACUCCAGUGACAGAAGAUUAUUUUUGUGACUAUGGAGCUUAUGACAAAAUCAGUCCUUGAAUUCUUUGCUGGUAAGUUUUUCUCUUCAUUGUUCUUAGACAAAAGACAAAAAAUAGUGAAAAAGUAAAGUUUUUCCAGCUACACACACACAUAAAGGCAUGAUUUGGAAAGCUAAAUUUGCCAAUUAUUUUGAGGGUUUGUGGCUCUUAGUAAAUGAUUUGACAGAUUGGGCUGGAAUCAAUUUCAGAAGCCAUAUAAAAAAAAAAUUGAGACUUUGUGCAGGAAGAUCAUUGAAUCACAGAAUGUGUUGAAUUGGACAGGAGACUCAAGGAUCCUUGAGUCCAACUCCCAGCCCUGCACAGGACAGCUCCAAGAAUCACACCAUGUACCUGAGAGCAUUGUGCAAACAUUUCUUGAACUCUGUCUGUGUGUUUGUGCUGGGAUUACUUCCCUGGGGAGCCUGUUCCAGUGACCAGCCACCCUCUGGGUGAAGAACCUUUGCCUAAUUUCCAACCUAAACCUCCCCUGAGACAACAUCAGGCCAUUCCCUCGUGUCCUGUCACUGGGCACCACAGAGAAGAGAUCAGUGCCUGCCCCUCUGUGUACCCUCAUCAGAAAGUUUUAACCACUUCUCCAGGCUGAACAGACCAAGUGAUUUCAGCUGCUUCUCAUACAGCUGCUCCUUAAGGUCCUUCACUGUCUUCAUUGCCCUCCUUUGGAUGCUCUCUGAUAAUACCUUUCUUAUGUCGUGGCACCAAAAUGACACACAAUAUUCAAGGUGAAGCUGUACCAGUGCAGACCAGAGAGGGACAAGAUCUUUUAAAACAUGGGGGUGUUAUUAAUUUGAAUAUUUUUUAUCUCUGAGGUCAAAAUAUUUGGUAUACUUUUGACAAUUGAAGAGAUGGGGUUGUGAAAUAUCACUGGUAAUGUACCUUGAGAAAGUCAGUAGAGUAACUUUUCAGGAGCAAAGUGGAGGCAGAUCUUAUAAGAUUGCAGCACAUACCAGUGACAACCAGAGCUGCUCUGCUU